Long non-coding RNA from Triticum aestivum (bread wheat), 752 nucleotides. RefSeq lists it as uncharacterized. The transcript has 2 exons. Lineage: Eukaryota; Viridiplantae; Streptophyta; Magnoliopsida; Poales; Poaceae. The record is from RefSeq and is a predicted model, not a curated record.
CAAGAGGAAGAAGAAGUCGGCGGGGUGCCGCCGGAGCCCACCACAGGACUCGAGGCCCAGCCCAGCCCAGCCCAGCGCACCUACCAAGACCGACCGACUUUCCCCUUCCCUGCUCCUCCAUUCCUCUCCUCCUCCUCCUGCCGCCAUCGCCGUUGCCGUCAGCCGUCGCCGCCGCCGCCGCAUCUCCCCCGCGCCGCCGCCGCAUCUCCCCCGCGCCGCCGCCUUGACGCUCCGAUUUGUCCGUCCGACGGUCAGCAGCAGCAGCAGCAGCAGCCUAGUCGUCAUCGUCGCCGAUGGCAGGGUUCGGCAGCCUGGCGUCCAAGACGAAGAAUGUGGUGGUGGCGGGCGGGCUGACGGGGUUCGUCUUUGGGGUGUACUACUACACCAUGUGGGCGGUGGGCAGCACCGACGAGCUGCAGGUCACUAUCGACAAGUUUGAGGACCUGAAGAAGAAGGAGGAGGCAACCUUCGCAGCCGCCGCAAGCGCCUCCACCCCGGGAUCAUCAUAAACAAAUGCGCCCUUAACUUUGAAACUAGCUGCUGCUGCCUCUCAACCUGCCCGGGACAAUGGGUUUGGUUUGUAUUGAUAAUAAUGGGUGCUUUUAGUUAGAUGGAGCGUUUUCAUUCCUGGCAUGGAUGGAGUUUGGAGUUGAUGAUGCUUUUGUUUGUGUGAAUGGAAUGUUAGCCGCUGUGUCUGGAAGUUAUGAUAUAUGAUACUGCCUCCACUUCAAAAUACAGUCUCCGCUUCAAAA